UACAACUUUCAUUUUAUUUUA
Molecule: non-coding RNA, 21 nt
Filed under: Caenorhabditis elegans
Lineage: Eukaryota; Metazoa; Nematoda; Chromadorea; Rhabditida; Rhabditidae
Source: RNAcentral